CGCGUAGGCGGCUUAGCAAGUCAGAUGUGAAAGCCCCGGGCUUAACUCGGGAAUUGCAUCUGAAACUGCUUUGCUUGAGUCCUGGAGGGGAUAGUGGAAUUCCCAGUGUAGCGGUGAAAUGCGUAAAUAUUGGGAGGAACACCUGCGGCGAAGGCGGCUAUCUGGACAGUGACUGACGCUGAGGCGCGAAAGCUAGGGGAGCGAACG
This 207-nucleotide ribosomal RNA is filed under the name uncultured Acidobacteriota bacterium. RNAcentral's name for it is "uncultured Acidobacteria bacterium partial 16S ribosomal RNA". It matches the Rfam family "Bacterial small subunit ribosomal RNA", at positions 568 to 774 of the family's 1533-position model. The record is from RNAcentral. Lineage: Bacteria; Pseudomonadati; Acidobacteriota.